Drosophila biarmipes is the source of this 1012-nucleotide long non-coding RNA. RefSeq lists it as uncharacterized. The record is from RefSeq and is a predicted model, not a curated record. NCBI's taxonomy places the organism in Eukaryota, Metazoa, Arthropoda, Insecta, Diptera, Drosophilidae. The transcript has 3 exons.
UAGUUUCAUUUGCUUAAAGUUUCGGGUCGAAGGUAAGGUGUUGCUCCAGAUUUGUUUGUGAUUUUAUUUCUUAUGCCAACGCCAAGGUACCGAGUUGAAAAUAUUUAAAUUAAACUUUGCUUCGAGUAUGUGCCUUGCUUUCAACUCACUCAAAGGUCAUUUCACUUGGCUUUCAAGAAAAUUAGUUUUAAAUUAAUUAAAAGAUUUUCCCAUAACUGUGCGCUGUGUGGCUCUUGAUGGCGUUGGAAGAGUGAGGCCAGGCGGAGAAAGAAUGGUAAAACUUGGAUAAUCAUCCCGACCGCACCGCCCGCUUUUUGCAAGCGACUGGGCGACCUCCGACCGCCCGCCCCCAAGAACUCGGCUCACUUUUUAAUAGUUCGCAAACCACGAAAGGCUAUGUGAGUUUAAACACUGUUACAAAUACUUUUCCGGAGGCGGAAUGUGUGCGCCACUGGAAUUACGCAGCAGGCGCAAUCCGGAAAACUUCCUCGCCGUUCUUUUCUUUCCCACUUUUAUGUAGUCCUUAAGUAUUUAUUUGCAUUUCGACUUUGUGCUGGCAAGGCAAUCGUUUCGGCAAAAUUAAGCAUCUUAAAGUAUGCAUGUACAGUUGGAUUACGGAUGCCAAAGUGUGCCCCCUUUCUCCAGCGGAAGUUUAAAAAUGGAAAAAAGUAUCCAAACGGAAAUUGCGAAGUAAGCAAAUAUUAUAAAUCCAUUUAGAGUUAAUCAACGAAUCUUCUUAGGCAUUUGUAUGUUUGCAUGUCGGCGUUGCGAAAGGAAAUUACCCCGUGAGAAAGGAGCUGGGUUCUUGGGGUCGUAGAACCGCCAUCAGCUGUUCAUGCUUUCAUCCCCAAUUUUCACAGUUCGCUGUCAAAAAAAGUUAGCCUAACUCCGCAAAACACUGGCUGACUUUAGCUUUUAAAGUGUUUCCUUACAAAGGGAAGUUUAGUUACCAUUUAUUAGAAAAGUUGGUAAAAUGUGGUCACCUGUUGUGAAUACAUUUUUGUCAUAAUAA